Otolemur garnettii (small-eared galago) is the source of this 116-nucleotide ribosomal RNA. Lineage: Eukaryota; Metazoa; Chordata; Mammalia; Primates; Galagidae. The record is from Ensembl.
GUCUGUGGCCAUAACAUCCUGAACACACCCAAUCUCAUAUGAUCUUGGAAGCUAAGCAGAAUCGGGCCAGGUGAGUACUUGGAUAGGAGAAGUUAAAAAGGACAAUAAAACAAACU